UUAAAAAGUCAAAAUCACUAAAUGAAAAUCAACAAAUUUCACUAUAACAUCAAAUCGUCUAAGAGAAAUUAUCACCACACACGAUACAUAUUAAUCACAACAAAACAAUCACAAUAAAAUGCAAUGCUAUGCAUGAGCUUAGACUCUACUUCACAAUGUGGUAUCAUUCUAACUCUGAAGUACUUGGUUAAGAGGCUUGAUACUAUCCCACCAUCCCAGUAGACGGACAAUUCAAAUUGACCAUGUCCUCGUAGAUCCCCUCAACUCAACCCGAGACACAUAUACGUGACAGUCGAGGUAAACGUGUGUUGCAUGGUAGCUCCCGACAUUUGGAGUGCUACCUCCAAGUCACCUAGGAAUUCCCCACCCGAAUACCUCCAAGGUCUAAUAAUCUUGCAUUAAGGCUCAAUAGUAGACCGCCAAGAUCAGGCUCAUUUAGUUGUACUUCCCCG
This 452-nucleotide long non-coding RNA is filed under the name Cicer arietinum (chickpea). RNAcentral describes it as "long non-coding RNA (CARI_LNC000289)". The record is from RNAcentral. Lineage: Eukaryota; Viridiplantae; Streptophyta; Magnoliopsida; Fabales; Fabaceae.